RNAcentral lists this ribosomal RNA (783 nucleotides) under uncultured bacterium. RNAcentral describes it as "bacterial SSU rRNA". It matches the Rfam family "Bacterial small subunit ribosomal RNA", at positions 8 to 796 of the family's 1533-position model. The record is from RNAcentral.
AGAGUUUGAUCCUGGCUCAGGACGAACGCUGGCGGCGUGCUUAACACAUGCAAGUCGAACGGUAAGGCCCUUCGGGGUACACGAGUGGCGAACGGGUGAGUAACACGUGGGUAAUCUGCCCUGCACAUCGGGAUAAGCCUGGGAAACUGGGUCUAAUACCGAAUAGGACCACAGGACACAUGUCCUGUGGUGGAAAGCUUUUGCGGUGUGGGAUGGGCCCGCGGCCUAUCAGCUUGUUGGUGGGGUGAUGGCCUACCAAGGCGACGACGGGUAGCCGGCCUGAGAGGGUGUCCGGCCACACUGGGACUGAGAUACGGCCCAGACUCCUACGGGAGGCAGCAGUGGGGAAUAUUGCACAAUGGGCGAAAGCCUGAUGCAGCGACGCCGCGUGGGGGAUGACGGCCUUCGGGUUGUAAACCUCUUUCACCAUCGACGAAGGUCCGAGUUUUCUCGGGCUGACGGUAGGUGGAGAAGAAGCACCGGCCAACUACGUGCCAGCAGCCGCGGUAAUACGUAGGGUGCGAGCGUUGUCCGGAAUUACUGGGCGUAAAGAGCUCGUAGGUGGUUUGUCGCGUUGUUCGUGAAAUCUCACGGCUUAACUGUGAGCGUGCGGGCGAUACGGGCAGACUUGAGUACUGCAGGGGAGACUGGAAUUCCUGGUGUAGCGGUGGAAUGCGCAGAUAUCAGGAGGAACACCGGUGGCGAAGGCGGGUCUCUGGGCAGUAACUGACGCUGAGGAGCGAAAGCGUGGGGAGCGAACAGGAUUAGAUACCCUGGUAGUCC